GUAGGGAAUCUUCCACAAUGGACGAAAGUCUGAUGGAGCAACGCCGCGUGAGUGAAGAAGGUUUUCGGAUCGUAAAACUCUGUUAUCGGAGAAGAACGUAUCUGGUAGUAACUGGCCAGGUAGUGACGGUAUCCGAUCAGAAAGCCACGGCUAACUACGUGCCAGCAGCCGCGGUAAUACGUAGGUGGCAAGCGUUGUCCGGAUUUAUUGGGCGUAAAGCGAGUGCAGGCGGUUUUUUAAGUCUGAUGUGAAAGCCUUCGGCUUAACCGAAGAAAUGCAUUGGAAACUGGGGAACUUGAGUGCAGAAGAGGAGAGUGGAACUCCAUGUGUAGCGGUGAAAUGCGUAGAUAUAUGGAAGAACACCAGUGGCGAAGGCGGCUCUCUGGUCUGUAACUGACGCUGAGGCUCGAAAGCGUGGGUAGCAAACAGGAUUAGAUACCCGAGUAGUCC
Molecule: ribosomal RNA, 450 nt
Filed under: uncultured bacterium
Lineage: Bacteria
Description: bacterial SSU rRNA
Rfam family: Bacterial small subunit ribosomal RNA
Source: RNAcentral